Molecule: ribosomal RNA, 405 nt
Filed under: uncultured bacterium
Lineage: Bacteria
Description: partial 16S ribosomal RNA
Rfam family: Bacterial small subunit ribosomal RNA
Source: RNAcentral
GACGAACGCUGGCGGCGUGCUUAACACAUGCAAGUCGAACGAGUGGCGAACGGGUGAGUAAUACGUGAGUAACCUGCCCUCUUUUUGGGAUAAGCCUCGGAAACGGGGUCUAAUACCGGAUAAUGGGGGAUGGGCUCGCGGCCUAUCAGCUUGUUGGUGGGGUUAUGUCCUACCAAGGCGGUGCCGGGUAGCCGGCCUGAGAGGGUGACCGGGCACAUUGGGACGGAGAUACUGCUCAGGCACCUACGGGAGGCAGCAGUGGGGGAUAUUGCACAAUGGGCGAAAGUCUGAUGCAGCGACGCCGCGUGGGUGAUGAAGGCUUUCGGGUUUUAACCUCUUUCGCUAGCGAACGGGUAGGUGGAGAAGAAGCGCCGGCUAACUACGUGCCAGCCGCCGCGGUAAUAC